GUUGGUGAACCAGCGGAGGGAUCAUUACAGAGUUUUUAACUCCCACACCCAUGUGAACUUACCAUUGUUGCCUCGGCAGAACCUACCCGGUACCUACCCUGUAACGACCUACCCUGUAGCGAGUUACCCGGGAACGGCUAUCGUGUAACGUUUCGCCGAUGGACAUCUAAACUAUUGUUAUUUUACAGUAAUCUGAGCGUCUUAUUUUAAUAAGUCAAAACUUUCAACAACGGAUCUCUUGGUUCUGGCA
RNAcentral lists this unclassified non-coding RNA (250 nucleotides) under plant metagenome. RNAcentral's name for it is "partial contains small subunit ribosomal RNA, internal transcribed spacer 1, and 5.8S ribosomal RNA". The record is from RNAcentral.